ACGUAGGGUGCAAGCGUUAAUCGGAAUUACUGGGCGUAAAGCGUGCGCAGGCGGUUUUAUAAGAGAGAGGUGAAAGCCCCUAGCUCAACCUUUGAAAUGCAUUUGUGACUGUAUAGCUAGAGUACGGGAGAGGGGGAUGGAAUUCCGCGUGUAGCAGUGAAAUGCGUAGAUAUGCGGAGGAACACCGAUGGCGAAGGCAAUCCCCUGGGCCUGUACUGACGCUCAUGCACGAAAGCGUGGGGAGCAAACAG
RNAcentral lists this ribosomal RNA (251 nucleotides) under uncultured prokaryote. Its description in RNAcentral is "partial 16S rRNA". It matches the Rfam family "Bacterial small subunit ribosomal RNA", at positions 525 to 775 of the family's 1533-position model. The record is from RNAcentral.